UACGUAGGGAGCAAGCGUUGUUCGGAAUCAUUGGGCGUAAAGGGCGCGUAGGUGGUUCUGUGUGUCUACCGUGAAAGCGUACGGCUCAACCGUAUUUUGUCGGUAGAAACUGCAGGACUUGAGGCUGGGAGGGGCUGGUGGAAUUCCCUGUGUAGCGGUGAAAUGCGUAGAGAUGGGGGAGAACACUCGUGGCGAAGGCGGCCAGCUAGACCAGUUCUGACACUGAGGCGCGACAGCGUGGGGAGCAAACAGG
Molecule: ribosomal RNA, 253 nt
Filed under: uncultured bacterium
Lineage: Bacteria
Description: partial 16S ribosomal RNA
Rfam family: Bacterial small subunit ribosomal RNA
Source: RNAcentral